Non-coding RNA from Ornithorhynchus anatinus (platypus), 138 nucleotides. The record is from Rfam. NCBI's taxonomy places the organism in Eukaryota, Metazoa, Chordata, Mammalia, Monotremata, Ornithorhynchidae.
CACCUCUUAGGGUCACACCUGGAGAGUUUCUAAUACUCUACCAGUCUAGGCUAUGGGAAAGGGAGUCAAGCAGAGGCCUACCUAUUCCAUUCUUAGCUAGGGCAGUGGCUAGAGAGUGGAAGGCAAUCUGCUACAAGU